GAAGGGGGCUAGCGUUGCUCGGAAUUACUGGGCGUAAAGGGAGCGUAGGCGGACUGUUUAGUCAGAGGUGAAAGCCCAGGGCUCAACCUUGGAAUUGCCUUUGAUACUGGCAGUCUUGAGUACGGAAGAGGUAUGUGGAACUCCGAGUGUAGAGGUGAAAUUCGUAGAUAUUCGGAAGAACACCAGUGGCGAAGGCGACAUACUGGUCCGUUACUGACGCUGAGGCUCGAAAGCGUGGGGAGCAAAC
Molecule: ribosomal RNA, 247 nt
Filed under: uncultured bacterium
Lineage: Bacteria
Description: partial 16S ribosomal RNA
Rfam family: Bacterial small subunit ribosomal RNA
Source: RNAcentral